RNAcentral lists this ribosomal RNA (253 nucleotides) under uncultured bacterium. Its description in RNAcentral is "partial 16S ribosomal RNA". It matches the Rfam family "Bacterial small subunit ribosomal RNA", at positions 524 to 776 of the family's 1533-position model. The record is from RNAcentral.
UACGAAGGGGGCUAGCGUUGUUCGGAAUUACUGGGCGUAAAGCGCGAGCAGGCGGCUAUCCAAGUCAGUGGUGAAAGCCCGGAGCUCAACUCCGGAACUGCCAUUGAGACUGUUUAGCUUGAGGACGAGAGAGGUGAGUGGAAUUCCCAGUGUAGAGGUGAAAUUCGUAGAUAUUGGGAAGAACACCGGUGGCGAAGGCGGCUCACUGGCUCGUUUCUGACGCUCAGGCGCGACAGCGUGGGGAUCAAACAGG